RNAcentral lists this unclassified non-coding RNA (181 nucleotides) under uncultured Sphaeropsis. RNAcentral's name for it is "sequence contains ITS1". Lineage: Eukaryota; Fungi; Ascomycota; Dothideomycetes; Botryosphaeriales; Botryosphaeriaceae. The record is from RNAcentral.
CCGAGUUCUCGGGCUUCGGCUCGAAUCUCCCACCCUUUGUGAACAUACCUCUGUUGCUUUGGCGGCUCUUUGCCGCGAGGAGAGGCCCCUCAAAAGGCCGCCCCCCCGCGCGCUUUCCGCCAGAGGACCUUCAAACUCCAGUCAGUAAACGUCGACGUCUGAUAAACAAGUUAAUAAACUA